Molecule: long non-coding RNA, 1228 nt
Filed under: Gallus gallus (chicken)
Lineage: Eukaryota; Metazoa; Chordata; Aves; Galliformes; Phasianidae
Description: lncRNA (ENSGALG00010011811.1)
Source: RNAcentral
CUUAUAUAUAAAAAGAUAUACAUACAUUUGUGGGUGGACUUGUAGGUCUAAAAUAUCACUAUGUUAUUGAAAAUUCAUCUUAUUUACCUAUCAGUUCGAAUCUUCUGCACUUUUAUUUUGAGGAAUCAUAGGGUGGCUUGGGUUGGAAGGGACUUGAAGGAUCAUCAAGCUCCAAUCCCCCACCACAGGGAGAGCCACCAACCUCCACAUUUAAUAGGAAUCAUUUCUUAGCCAUGUAAUCUGGUGUGGAAGACUUUGGAAUGCUGGCAAGAUGUUGGUGCUGGUCUGGGAAUAGCUGUGCUAUCUUUGUGACAAAGAGGAUACACUUUCUCAGCAGGCUGAACAACCCCAGCUCAUACACAGGAGAUGCUCCAGACCCCUCAUCAUCUUUGUGGCCCUCCACUGGACUAUCUCCAGCAGUUUCCUCUCUUGAUCUGUGUCACCCGUAACUGGACACAGUACUCCAGAUGUAGCCUCCCCAGGGCAGAGAAGAUGGGGAGGAUCGCCUCCAUGCUCUACUGGCCAUGCUCUCCCCAGUGCACCCCGGGAUACCAUUGGUCUUCUUGGCCACCAGGGCACCCUGCUGGCUCAUGGACAACCUUUUGGCCACAGGGACAUCCAAGUCCUUCUCUGGAGAGCUCCUCUCCAGCAGGGAAUACCCAGGGAAAAAAAAGAUCGUAGAGUUUUAAAGAUGUUUCAACUUUUAGUAAUUAAGCUCUGGUGAACGUUGCAAGAAUAUUUAAUGUUGUGCUGAUCUAUCUGAGGAGGAUCUGGAGACUUACAAGGAAUUACAAGAACAUGACUUACAAAACAGAAAGCUCACAUUGUCAAAGCAUCCUCUGAAAUGCUUUCAGAUUGAGAAGGUUUUUUUUUCUGGCAUUUCAUUAGGAAUAGGCAGCAGGGAGAGUCUCCUGACAUUAAGGCAUUUUUGUUUUGUUUUGUUUUGUUCUUCACUCCCAUAGUUAAGAGUAACUUGUUGGCUUUUUUCCACCUCAUGCUCACUCUCGCAGAUGAGCAUUAGAGAGAAUUUGGAAAUGGAAGGCCUUUCUGUCUGCUGCUAGCAGGGUCAAUUCAGUGUGGCAGCUGCGAGCUGGUGACAUAGACUUAUAUUGACACAACCCACUUUUUGCUGCAGAAUCACAAAGCGAAAGCACCCGGGGCUCUUCUGCCUUUUUCAAUAAGAUACGAAUUUUUGUCUUCCUUGUAUUAAGCAGAGAUCUGUCAUCUU